CCUGCUUCCAGGAAAAGCCUCUAAGCAUCAGGUAACAUCAAAUCGUACCCCAAACCGACACAGGUGGUCAGGUAGAGAAUACCAAGGCGCUUGAGAGAACUCGGGUGAAGGAACUAGGCAAAAUGGUGCCGUAACUUCGGGAGAAGGCACGCUGAUAUGUAGGUGAAGUCCCUCGCGGAUGGAGCUGAAAUCAGUCGAAGAUACCAGCUGGCUGCAACUGUUUAUUAAAAACACAGCACUGUGCAAACACGAAAGUGGACGUAUACGGUGUGACGCCUGCCCGGUGCCGGAAGGUUAAUUGAUGGGGUUAGCGCAAGCGAAGCUCUUGAUCGAAGCCCCGGUAAACGGCGGCCGUAACUAUAACGGUCCUAAGGUAGCGAAAUUCCUUGUCGGGUAAGUUCCGACCUGCACGAAUGGCGUAAUGAUGGCCAGGCUGUCUCCACCCGAGACUCAGUGAAAUUGAACUCGCUGUGAAGAUGCAGUGUACCCGCGGCAAGACGGAAAGACCCCGUGAACCUUUACUAUAGCUUGACACUGAACAUUGAGCCUUGAUGUGUAGGAUAGGUGGGAGGCUUUGAAGUGUGGACGCCAGUCUGCAUGGAGCCGACCUUGAAAUACCACCCUUUAAUGUUUGAUGUUCUAACGUUGACCCGUAAUCCGGGUUGCGGACAGUGUCUGGUGGGUAGUUUGACUGGGGCGGUCUCCUCCUAAAGAGUAACGGAGGAGCACGAAGGUUGGCUAAUCCUGGUCGGACAUCAGGAGGUUAGUGCAAUGGCAUAAGCCAGCUUGACUGCGAGCGUGACGGCGCGAGCAGGUGCGAAAGCAGGUCAUAGUGAUCCGGUGGUUCUGAAUGGAAGGGCCAUCGCUCAACGGAUAAAAGGUACUCCGGGGAUAACAGGCUGAUACCGCCCAAGAGUUCAUAUCGACGGCGGUGUUUGGCACCUCGAUGUCGGCUCAUCACAUCCUGGGGCUGAAGUAGGUCCCAAGGGUAUGGCUGUUCGCCAUUUAAAGUGGUACGCGAGCUGGGUUUAGAACGUCGUGAGACAGUUCGGUCCCUAUCUGCCGUGGGCGCUGGAGAACUGAGGGGGGCUGCUCCUAGUACGAGAGGACCGGAGUGGACGCAUCACUGGUGUUCGGGUUGUCAUGCCAAUGGCACUGCCCGGUAGCUAAAUGCGGAAGAGAUAAGUGCUGAAAGCAUCUAAGCACGAAACUUGCCCCGAGAUGAGUUCUCCCUGACUCCUUGAGAGUCCUGAAGGAACGUUGAAGACGACGACGUUGAUAGGCCGGGUGUGUAAGCGCAGCGAUGCGUUGAGCUAACCGGUACUAAUGAACCGUGAGGCUUAACCUUACAACGCCGAAGCUGUU
This 1365-nucleotide ribosomal RNA is filed under the name Escherichia coli. RNAcentral describes it as "partial 23S ribosomal RNA". It matches the Rfam family "Bacterial large subunit ribosomal RNA", at positions 1601 to 2925 of the family's 2925-position model. Lineage: Bacteria; Pseudomonadati; Pseudomonadota; Gammaproteobacteria; Enterobacterales; Enterobacteriaceae. The record is from RNAcentral.